This 491-nucleotide ribosomal RNA is filed under the name uncultured bacterium. Its description in RNAcentral is "partial 16S ribosomal RNA". It matches the Rfam family "Bacterial small subunit ribosomal RNA", at positions 29 to 506 of the family's 1533-position model. The record is from RNAcentral.
AGUGAACGCUGGCGGUAGGCCUAACACAUGCAAGUCGAACGGCAGCACAGUAAGAGCUUGCUCUUACGGGUGGCGAGUGGCGGACGGGUGAGGAAUACAUCGGAAUCUACUUUUUCGUGGGGGAUAACGUAGGGAAACUUACGCUAAUACCGCAUACGACCUACGGGUGAAAGCAGGGGAUCUUCGGACCUUGCGCGAUUGAAUGAGCCGAUGUCGGAUUAGCUAGUUGGCGGGGUAAAGGCCCACCAAGGCGACGAUCCGUAGCUGGUCUGAGAGGAUGAUCAGCCGCACUGGAACUGAGACACGGUCCAGACUCCUACGGGAGGCAGCAGUGGGGAAUAUUGGACAAUGGGCGCAAGCCUGAUCCAGCCAUACCGCGUGGGUGAAGAAGGCCUUCGGGUUGUAAAGCCCUUUUGUUGGGAAGGAAAAGCAGCAGGUUAAUACCCCGCUGUUCUGACGGUACCCAAAGAAUAAGCACCGGCUAACUUCGU